Molecule: ribosomal RNA, 377 nt
Filed under: uncultured bacterium
Lineage: Bacteria
Description: bacterial SSU rRNA
Rfam family: Bacterial small subunit ribosomal RNA
Source: RNAcentral
GUAGUCCAUGCCGUAAACGUUGGGCACUAGGUGUGGGGCUCAUUCCACGAGUUCCGUGCCGCAGCUAACGCAUUAAGUGCCCCGCCUGGGGAGUACGGCCGCAAGGCUAAAACUCAAAGGAAUUGACGGGGGCCCGCACAAGCGGCGGAGCAUGCGGAUUAAUUCGAUGCAACGCGAAGAACCUUACCAAGGCUUGACAUGCACCGGAACUGCUCAGAGAUGGGUAGGUCUUCGGACUGGUGCACAGGUGGUGCAUGGUUGUCGUCAGCUCGUGUCGUGAGAUGUUGGGUUAAGUCCCGCAACGAGCGCAACCCUCGUCCUAUGUUGCCAGCACGUCAUGGUGGGGACUCAUAGGAGACUGCCGGGGUCAACUCGGA